RNAcentral lists this long non-coding RNA (661 nucleotides) under Mustela putorius furo (domestic ferret). RNAcentral describes it as "lncRNA (ENSMPUG00000029876.1)". The record is from RNAcentral. Lineage: Eukaryota; Metazoa; Chordata; Mammalia; Carnivora; Mustelidae.
CCUCUGCCUUUUGCUCAGGUCAUGGUCCCAGGGUCCUAGGAUCAAGCCCCGUGUCAGGCUCUCUGCUUGGCGGGGAGCCUGCUUCCCCCUCUCUCUCUCUGCCUGCCUCUCUGCCUAUUGUGAUCUCUGUCUGUCAAAUAAAUAAAUAAAAGCUUAAAAAAAAAGAUAUACUACAAAGUUAUAGUAUCAAAACAGUAUAAUAUUGACAUAAAAACAAAUAGACCAAUGGAACAGAGUUGAGAGCCCAGCCCAAAUAUAUAUAGGACAACUAAUAUUUUACAAGGGAACCAUGAACACUCAUAGAGAAAAGAUGAUCUCUUCACUCGUGCUGGGAUAAUAGGAUAUUCACAUAUAAUAGAAUGAAACCGGACCCAUCUCUUAAACAACUCAUAAAAAAAUGUGUUGAAAUGGAUUGAAGACUUAAAUGUAUGACCUGAAACUAUGAAACUCCUAGAAGAAGACAUAGGGGAAAAGCUCUUUGACAUUGGUCUUGGUAGAUAUGACACCUAAAACACAUGUAAUGAAAUAAAAAAUAAACAAGUAGCACUACAUCGAAUUAAAAGGCUUCUGCACAACAAAAGAAACCAUCAACAAAGUAAAAAGACAACCUACAGAAUGGGAAAAGAUAGUUGCAAGCCAUAUAUUCUGAGAAGAGGUUAAU